This 264-nucleotide ribosomal RNA is filed under the name uncultured Desulfosporosinus sp. Its description in RNAcentral is "partial 16S ribosomal RNA". It matches the Rfam family "Bacterial small subunit ribosomal RNA", at positions 234 to 489 of the family's 1533-position model. Lineage: Bacteria; Bacillati; Bacillota; Clostridia; Eubacteriales; Desulfitobacteriaceae. The record is from RNAcentral.
CGUCUGAUUAGCUAGUUGGUGGGGUAAAGGCCUACCAAGGCGACGAUCAGUAGCCGGCCUGAGAGGGUGAACGGCCACACUGGGACUGAGACACGGCCCAGACUCCUACGGGAGGCAGCAGUGGGGAAUCUUCCGCAAUGGACGAAAGUCUGACGGAGCAACGCCGCGUGUAUGAUGAAGGUCUUCGGAUUGUAAAGUACUGUCUUUGGGGAAGAACGGUAGCAAUGAGAAUAUUGAGUUCACAUGACGGUACCCAAGGAGGAA